CAAGAGCGUAUGUAAAAGUUGUUGCAGUUAAAAAGCUCGUAGUUGAACCUUGGGUUUGGUUGGCCGGUCCGCUUUUUUGCGAGUACUGGAUUCAACCGAGCCUUUCCUUCUGGCUAACCAGUCGUUUCGGCGGCUGGCGAACCAGGAUUUUUACUUUGAGAAAAUUAGAGUGUUCAAAGCAGGCAUUAGCUUGAAUAUAUUAGCAUGGAAUAAUAGAAUAGGACGUUAUGGUUCUAUUUUGUUGGUUUCUAGGACCAUCGUAAUGAUUAAUAGGGACGGUCGGGGGCACCAGUAUUCAGUUGUCAGAGGUGAAAUUCUUGGAUUUACUGAAGACUAACUACUGCGAAAGCAUUUGCCAAGGACGUUUUCAUUAA
RNAcentral lists this ribosomal RNA (374 nucleotides) under uncultured eukaryote. Its description in RNAcentral is "partial 18S ribosomal RNA". It matches the Rfam family "Eukaryotic small subunit ribosomal RNA", at positions 592 to 976 of the family's 1831-position model. The record is from RNAcentral.